Molecule: ribosomal RNA, 171 nt
Filed under: uncultured bacterium
Lineage: Bacteria
Description: partial 16S ribosomal RNA
Rfam family: Bacterial small subunit ribosomal RNA
Source: RNAcentral
CCUACGGGAGGCAGCAGUGGGGAAUAUUGCGCAAUGGGGGAAACCCUGAUGCAGCGACGCCGCGUGGGUGAUGAAGGUCUUCGGAUCGUAAAACCCUUUUCAAGGUGACGAGACAAGGACGGUAGCCUUGGAAGAAGUCUCGGCUAACUACGUGCCAGCAGCCGCGGUAAU